RNAcentral lists this ribosomal RNA (2887 nucleotides) under Bacteroidales bacterium OttesenSCG-928-C19. RNAcentral's name for it is "23S ribosomal RNA". It matches the Rfam family "Bacterial large subunit ribosomal RNA". The record is from RNAcentral. Lineage: Bacteria; Pseudomonadati; Bacteroidota; Bacteroidia; Bacteroidales.
GAGGAAGUUACGAAGGGCACACGGGGGAUGCCUAGGCUCUUAGAGGCGACGAAGGACGUGAUAAGCUGCGAAAAGCUGCGGGGAAUGGCAAAUACAUAUAGAUCCGCAGAUAUCCGAAUGGGGAAACCCACCAAGUUGAAGACUUGGUACCAUUAUAAAUGGGGCGAACGUUGGGAACUGAAACAUCUAAGUACCAGCAGGAAGAGAAAACAAUAGUGAUUCCGUAAGUAGUGGCGAGCGAACGCGGAAGAGCCCAAACCGAUGUUGUUACGGCAAUAUCGGGGUUGUAGGACUGCGACGUGGAAUAUAAAAUAUUAGAAGAAUUAACUGGAAAGUUAAGCCGAAGAGGGUGAUAGUCCCGUAUUCAAAAAUGUUUUAUUACCUAGCAGUAUCCUGAGUAGGGCGGGACCAGAGAAAUCCUGUCUGAAUCAGCCGGUACCAUCCGGUAAGGCUAAAUACUACUAAGAGACCGAUAGCGAACAAGUACCGUGAGGGAAAGGUGAAAAGCACCUCGAACAGAGGAGUGAAAUAGUACCUGAAACCGUGUGCUUACAAGCGGUCGGAGCACCAAUAUGGUGUGACGGCGUGCCUUUUGCAUAAUGAGCCUACGAGUUACAUCUCACUAGCGAGGUUAAGUGCCGUGAGGUAUGCAGCCGAAGCGAAAGCGAGUCUGAAUAGGGCGUUAUAGUUAGUGGGAGUAGACGCGAAACUUUGUGAUCUACCCUUGAGCAGGUUGAAGGUUGGGUAACACUAACUGGAGGACCGAACCCGUUGAUGUUGAAAAAUCUUGGGAUGACUUGAGGGUAGGGGUGAAAGGCUAAUCAAACUGAGAGAUAGCUCGUACUCUCCGAAAUGCUUUUAGGAGCAGCCUCAUAUUAGUAUCAUAGAGGUAGAGCUACUGAUUGGAUGCGGGGGCUUCACCGCCUACCAAUUCCAGACAAACUCCGAAUGCUAUGAUAUGAUUUAUGGGAGGAAGGCUAUGGGUGCUAAUGUCCAUAGCCGAGAGGGAAAGAACCCGGACCAACAGCUAAGGUCCCAGAAUGUAUGCUAAGUUGAUAAAACGCGGUGUGACUGCAGAGACAGCUAGGAUGUUGGCUUGGAAGCAGCCAUUCAUUUAAAGAGUGCGUAACAGCUCACUAGUCGAGCGGUCGUGCAUGGAUAAUAAGCGGGCAUAAGCAUACUACCGAAGCUUUGGGUUGUACAUUUAUGUACAGCGGUAGGAGAGCAUUCUAACGGCGUAGAAGCAGCAUGGUAAUGUGUUGUGGAGCUUUUAGAAAAGCAAAUGUAGGCAUAAGUAACGAUAAAGCAGGCGAGAAACCUGCUCACCGAAAGACUAAGGUUUCCUGAACAACGAUAAUCGGUUCAGGGUUAGUCGGGACCUAAGGUUAAGCCGAAAGGCGAAAUCGAUGGAUAAUUGGUUAAUAUUCCAAUACUAUCUUUAAUUGCGAUGGAGAGACGGAGAAGUGAAAGGUACGCGUACUGACGGAAUAGUACGUUAAAGGGUGUAGAUAUAUCGACUAUAGGCAAAUCCGUAGUUGAUGUCGAACCUGAUAGUACAGAGAGGCUACGGCUGAUCUGAUAGUUACCCUAAACAGGCUUCCAAGAAAAUCUUCUAAGCUAUAGAUUAAAGAUACCCGUACCGCAAACCGACACAGGUAGUCGAGGAGAAUAUCCAAAGGUGCUCGAGUGAUCCGUGGCUAAGGAACUAGGCAAAAUAGUCCUGUAACUUCGGGAGAAAGGACCCCUACCCAGCGAUGGGAGGGCGCAGAGAAAUGGCCCUGGCGACUGUUUAGCAAAAACACAUGGCUUUGCAAAAUCGAAAGAUGAAGUAUAAGGCCUGACACCUGCCCGGUGCUGGAAGGUUAAGAGGAGAUGUCAUUCUUCGGAAGAAGCAUUGAAUUGAAGCCCCAGUAAACGGCGGCCGUAACUAUAACGGUCCUAAGGUAGCGAAAUUCCUUGUCGGGUAAGUUCCGACCUGCACGAAUGGUGUAACGAUCUGGGCACUGUCUCAGCCACGAGCUCGGUGAAAUUGUAGUAACGGUGAAGAUGCCGUUUACCCGCAACGGGACGGAAAGACCCCGUGAACCUUCACUACAACUUAACAUUGGUUUCGGAUAAAUGAUGUGUAGGAUAGGUGGGAGACUGUGAAGCAGGUACGCUAGUAUUUGUGGAGUCAACGUUGAAAUACCACCCUUUAUUUAUCUGGAGUCUAACUUGCAAAGCGAGGACAGUGUUUGGUGGGUAGUUUGACUGGGGUGGUCGCCUCCAAAAGAGUAACGGAGGCUUUCAAAGGUACCCUCAGCACGCUUGGUAACCGUGCGCAGAGUGCAAUAGCAGAAGGGUGCUUGACUGUGAGGCCUACAAGCCGAGCAGGUACGAAAGUAGGAUAUAGUGAUCCGGUGGUUCCGCAUGGAAGGGCCAUCGCUCAAAGGAUAAAAGGUACUCCGGGGAUAACAGGCUGAUCAUUCCCAAGAGCUCAUAUCGACGGAAUGGUUUGGCACCUCGAUGUCGGCUCGUCACAUCCUGGGGCUGGAGAAGGUCCCAAGGGUUGGGCUGUUCGCCCAUUAAAGUGGCACGCGAGCUGGGUUCAGAACGUCGCGAGACAGUUCGGUCCCUAUCUGUUGUGGGCGUUGGAAGUUUGAGAGGACCUGACUUUAGUACGAGAGGACCGAGUCGGACAAACCUCUAGUGUACCGGUUGUGGCGCCAGCUGCACCGCCGGGUAGCUAUGUUUGGAAGGGAUAAGUGCUGAAAGCAUCUAAGUACGAAACCCGCCUCAAGAUGAGACUUCCCUGAGGGUGGUUGAAGAUUACGACCUUGAUAGGCUGCAGAUGUAAAGGUAGAGAUACCAAAGUCGAGCAGUACUAAUAACCCGAAAUCUUCCUCUA